Molecule: small RNA, 1092 nt
Filed under: Drosophila virilis
Lineage: Eukaryota; Metazoa; Arthropoda; Insecta; Diptera; Drosophilidae
Description: GJ14715
Source: RNAcentral
UCGUGUGUCUCUCUCUCAGUGUGGCGCAGAAACGGUCGCGCGUUUAAGUUCUCCGGCUAAAAGGCAGCUUAAUACAUUUGAUUGCGAUUGUUAAUCACGCUCAUACGAUUAAGUACGAAAUUAUUUUGGCUAAUCUAGUGCUAUACAAUUGUGCGUGCGUGUGUCUGUGUCGCGGCAACGGAUUCGUAUUCGUUACAGCGCUGCUGUUUUAAUACAAUUGUUGCUUUUUUUUUUUUUUUUGUUUUGUUCGAAAUGUGUCGUAAUUAAAUCAUAUACAUAUACAUGCAAACAUAAUUAUUAUUAUUUAUAUUUAAUUGUUCAAAUAAAAACAACAACAGCGACAGCUGCCAGGCAAUUGAAGUGCGAGAACGGGGGGAAAAAAAAGCGCUAUACGCGAAUUAAAGUGUGUGGAGAGUGCGCGCAAUUUGGAAUUGGAGCAACAACAACCGUACGGUCGACGCCGCCGUCGACGCCGAAGCCGACGCCGACGCCACUGCCAAUUGUCCAGCUCUUUCACAAUCUUUGCAGCCUGCCCAGCACUUUUCAAUCAUGUAUGCGUGAGUGUGUGUGCGCGAUUGUGUGUGCGUGUGUGUGUGUGCUGCCCACCUGCCGCAUAGGCAAAUCGAGCACGUUAAUUAAAUGUCAACAGUUUUCAAGCUGAGAAGCGCGCGGGACGCGAAAGGACGCGGAGCUCAGACCGAAACCGAAACUGAAACCGAAGCGGAGGCAGAAGCUGAACCUGAAGCUGAAGCUGAAGAGGAAGAGGAAACAGCAGCAUAUGCGGAGGCUGAAAUAAAAGACGACGGCAACGAAUUGAAAUUGUGCAAAAUGUUUGCAUGACUGUCAAAUAAAUCAUAAGAAGCGCAACAUAAACGAAACAACAACAACAACAACAACAGCAACAACAGCAACAGAAACAACAACAACAACAAACAUGGUUAAUGCUGUGAUGGAUGCCAUUGCGCUGCUCAGCUCGCUGGCCAGCGAUUUGGAUGUGAUGCUGAAUGAUUUGCGUUCAGCGCCCAAUCAUGGUACGACAACAACAACAGCGGCAACAGCAACAGCAACAGCAGCAACAGCAACAGCAAUGAC